UAUGAUUAAGAAUUUAACGUCCAUUCAUGCUUUUGAUAAUAUUAGUUUCACCUAAGGAAUUAGGGUGCUAUAUUAGAUAAACGAGAUUGAUGAGCCAAGGAAUUGGACUCGGUCUAUUUUGUUAAAUUAUCGUAAUUAUAAGAAUUUUAUUGUUGAGGGCUAGAACCUAGAGUACCAGAUAGGGACAAAGAGAUGAUUCAAAAUAAUUUCUAAUUGUCUUUCUCUCAUAAAAGUUCACGUUUCAACUUUCUUGCAAUUUUAAUUAUUGUCAUUGUUACUACAAAUCAAUCUGAAAACCCCCCUUUGCAAUUUAUUUAUUAAUCCUAAAUUCAUUGAAUUGUUUCGUUGAAAUAAGAACAAUCCCUGUGGAUACGAAUCUUAUAAAUUUUAUUACUUAACGACGA
RNAcentral lists this long non-coding RNA (404 nucleotides) under Trifolium pratense (red clover). RNAcentral describes it as "long non-coding RNA (TPRA_LNC002443)". The record is from RNAcentral. Lineage: Eukaryota; Viridiplantae; Streptophyta; Magnoliopsida; Fabales; Fabaceae.